This 583-nucleotide small RNA is filed under the name Malus domestica (apple). Its description in RNAcentral is "sRNA MD12G0058400". The record is from RNAcentral. Lineage: Eukaryota; Viridiplantae; Streptophyta; Magnoliopsida; Rosales; Rosaceae.
CGUGACACGCCCCAUCUAGAUGUUACAAAUGCGUAGCAUCGAUGACAUGACAUGAGAGCAGAAACUAGAAACAUGAGAGCUGGAACUUUGGUUUUGGUCUCAACUCAUGGAAAUCAGACUUUUCUAUAGCAAAUACGGCCUCUCGUACCCCAUGUGCAUUCAAUCGCCAUCUUCCUCGUAAUUUUACCAACUACGGUAGUUUUUCUCCGACCACAAGAAGUAAGGCAGUAAACUUUUCAUGAACCAAAAUUUGAGGAAAACCAGCCCUUAGACCUUAGUUCUAGUCUUCUAGACCAUAAGAAUAAACAUAACAACCGCUUCACUAUAUUAUGUGUGUGGGGGUGUCUAUAUAUAUAUAUAUAUAAGGGUAAGUGAGUGACAAAACGUACCUGGUAAGCAGCUGACGACAGGCCUGAGCUCGAACAAGCAGCAGUUAAAUUCACAAAAUAAUAUAUGCUUUGCUCACAUUUCCUUUCCAUUAGCUAAAAUAUUGAGUCGUCGUACCCAGUGCACAAGGCUCCCGCUUUACGCAGGGUCUGGGAGAGGUGAAUGUCGGCUAGCCUUACCCCCAUAAAAUAAAAAC